Molecule: ribosomal RNA, 939 nt
Filed under: Roumegueriella rufula
Lineage: Eukaryota; Fungi; Ascomycota; Sordariomycetes; Hypocreales; Bionectriaceae
Description: SSU rRNA
Rfam family: Eukaryotic small subunit ribosomal RNA
Source: RNAcentral
UCCUACUUGGAUAACCGUGGUAAUUCUAGAGCUAAUACAUGCUAAAAAUCCCGACUUCGGAAGGGAUGUAUUUAUUAGAUUAAAAACCAAUGCCCUUCGGGGCUCCCUGGUGAUUCAUAAUAACUUCACGGAUCGCACGGCCUUGCGCCGGCGAUGGUUCAUUCAAAUUUCUUCCCUAUCAACUUUCGAUGUUUGGGUCUUGGCCAAACAUGGUUGCAACGGGUAACGGAGGGUUAGGGCUCGACCCCGGAGAAGGAGCCUGAGAAACGGCUACUACAUCCAAGGAAGGCAGCAGGCGCGCAAAUUACCCAAUCCCGACACGGGGAGGUAGUGACAAUAAAUACCGAUACAGGGCUCUUUUGGGUCCUGUAAUUGGAAUGAGUACAAUUUAAACCCCUUAACGAGGAACAAUUGGAGGGCAAGUCUGGUGCCAGCAGCCGCGGUAAUUCCAGCUCCAAUAGCGUAUAUUAAAGUUGUUGUGGUUAAAAAGCUCGUAGUUGAACCUUGGGCCUGGCUGGCCGGUCCGCCUCACCGCGUGUACUGGUCCGGCCGGGCCUUUCCCUCUGUGGAACUCCAUGCCCUUCACUGGGUGUGGCAGGGAAACAGGACUUUUACUUUGAAAAAAUUAGAGUGCUCCAGGCAGGCCUUUGCUCGAAUACAUUAGCAUGGAAUAAUAAAAUAGGACGUGCGGUUCUAUUUUGUUGGUUUCUAGGACCGCCGUAAUGAUUAAUAGGGACAGUCGGGGGCAUCAGUAUUCCAUAGUCAGAGGUGAAAUUCUUGGAUCUAUGGAAGACUAACUACUGCGAAAGCAUUUGCCAAGGAUGUUUUCAUUAAUCAGGAACGAAAGUUAGGGGAUCGAAGACGAUCAGAUACCGUCGUAGUCUUAACCAUAAACUAUGCCGACUAGGGAUCGGACGAUGUUAUAUUUUGACUCGUUCG